GAAAAAUUGUAUACAAAUUUUGUUUCUUUUUGCCUCUUUUUUUGGCAGACCGGAUUCUGCACUUAACCUUUAUUUUUAUUUUUUUUUAUUACCCGGCAAAGAUGUCUUUCAAUUUCAAGCCAUCUCUGGAAAUACCUGUUGUAAUAGCAAUAUUGACCCUCGUGUGCCUCGCUGACAUCUCGGACAAUUUAACCUAUGAAGAUCAAGACAGCGAUGAUCCUUUCGAACCUACCAGCUGCUCAUCGUCAAAUUUGAAACUGACAAACAACGUAUCUUUUCCGGCUAUGAACCUUUUUACUCCCAAUUGUAUUAAUAAGAAUGCUGCUGAUAAAGAGCGUCUGAAUAACCUCAGGAAAAUAAGAAAUCUGGACCCGCCUCUGCUACGAAUUGUCAACAGUGUCCUUUAAAUGAAGGAGAGUCUACUUACUAAGGGAAGAACAAUAGCUUUGCUAUCCUGUCUGAUGAUGAAGAUGAUACAAUGACUAUUGAUCCUAUCACCGAGCCUGAGCUUGGCCAUGGCUUAUCCGAGCCUCUCCAACUUAACUUUCCUGCGGUAUAACCAAGCAAUGCCUCUCAUACUAAAACUAAAAAACGCGAUCCCUGUCCCCCUCCCUUUCUGUUGAAGGGUGUCACUGAUGUUCGAAAACUAAUUGCUUUAAUUUCAUCUGUGACUACAGGUUUUCGCUCAAAAUGACUGGUCGAUAUUCCUGUAGAAUUACUGUGGACUUCGGAAGUGUAUACCGUGUGGUCAGCAUCUUUAAAUUUAAGAACAAAAGGGGCUUUCGAGUCGUCAUCAAGGGUCUCUCUGCGGCUACUGAGAUAGCUGAAAUUACUGCGAGAUUUAAAGCCUUGGCGCACAAGGCGUAAUGUAUACAACCCCCCUGGUGAGAAUGGCAAGGCUAACCGGGAUAUAUUCUUUGUUGAAUUGGCACCAGCGAGAAACAACAAAGAAGUUUAUGAUGCUCGCACAGUAGGUUACCAGGUGGUGUAAGUAGAACCCCAGCUACAGAGAAAAGGACCUUUAAGGUGUUUCCGAUGUCAAGAAUUUGGACUUUCUAAAAAAAACUGUUGGUACGCUUUGAUCAAAUGAUGUCGAUGAUGACGGCGACGUGAUGUUUAAGCACGCCACCCCGCUGGGAUCGACGCAUUGCGAUGACUAAUUACGGGCUAAAUAUCGCAAAUCUCUGGAGGCUGAGCAUGUUCUCCAUGAACGCAACAUUGACGUUAUACUUAUUUCGUUAUACUUAUUUUACCAGCUGUUUUUUUCCCGUAUUUAUGGAUAUGCUGUAUUCUGCGUAAACCACCCUGAUGAUCGGCAUCGUGGUGGUGCUGCCGUUAUCGUUAAGUCCUCCCUCGACUAUCACCUAAGCGCCACAAUAUCAGAGCCUCAUUUGCAAACAGUUGCCAUAAAUUUGGUUACUGGGCUUGGCAGAAUUUCGUUCGGUGCUGUCUACUGUCCUCCUGGUCACCAUCAUUGUUAGUCAGCUCAUGAAUAGCUGCGCCUGUUUGGCUUUGUGGGUAAACGCUUUCUUAUUGGAGGGGAUUAGAAUGCCCAUCACAUUUUCGUGCACCUGGUCACCAUCAUAUCUGCGCCAGUUUGGUUCUGUGGGUAAUCGCUUCCUUAUUGGAGGGGAUUGGAAUGCCCAUCACAGUUUCUGGGAAUGAAGGCGUUCGUGCACUCGGGCAAAGACUCUAAUGUAGGAUGUUUCUAACUCAAGAAUGCAGAUUCUGGUCACUGGUGGACCUACGCAUUUUCCAUGGAUUAAUAACCACCUUCCGACGGCUAUAGAUUUUGCGGUGUACAGUGGCAUCACGUGUACACACCUUGCUAUUCCAAAGUGUACCGGUCUUUUCUCUGUCCGACUUUCUGCCCUGACUAAGAAGCAUCCCUCUCUUACUACCAUAGACAAAGUUGAUUCCUCUGCAGAGUUCUUAGUUGACUAGAUCCACUAAGCUGCCACUCCAGCUAGAAGUGUUUCUAUUCCUCCGCCAGUGGGACAGCCAAGCAGAUGAGCUGCACUACCAAAAAGCAAAUAACUUUAUGUUUAAGCCGUAAGUGCAGAAGGAAAGUUAGGCCUAACCAAAAACUUUGUUAAAGCACUUGACAAAGAAGGUCCUGCUUUUAAACAUGUUGUGUAACUCUUCCCGAGACUUUCAUACGCGAAAAUAAAAGAAGCA
This is a long non-coding RNA of Drosophila gunungcola (fruit fly), 2178 nucleotides long. RefSeq lists it as uncharacterized. Lineage: Eukaryota; Metazoa; Arthropoda; Insecta; Diptera; Drosophilidae. The transcript has 3 exons. The record is from RefSeq and is a predicted model, not a curated record.